UACGGAGUUACAAAGGACGACAUUAGACGAAUCAUCUGGAAAGAUGAAUCAAAGAAGGUAAUAAUCCUGUAGUCGAAAAUGUUGUCUCUCUUGAGUGGAUCCUGAGUACGACGGAGCACGUGAAAUUCCGUCGGAAUCUGGGAGGACCAUCUCCUAAGGCUAAAUACUCUCUAGUGACCGAUAGUGAACCAGUACCGUGAGGGAAAGGUGAAAAGCACCCCGGAAGGGGAGUGAAAUAGAACCUGAAACCGUGUGCUUACAAGUAGUCAGAGCCCGUUAAUGGGUGAUGGCGUGCCUUUUGUAGAAUGAACCGGCGAGUUACGAUUUGAUGCAAGGUUAAGCAGUAAAUGUGGAGCCGUAGCGAAAGCGAGUCUGAAUAGGGCGUUUAGUAUUUGGUCGUAGACCCGAAACCAGGUGAUCUACCCUUGGUCAGGUUGAAGUUCAGGUAACACUGAAUGGAGGACCGAACCGACUUACGUUGAAAAGUGAGCGGAUGAACUGAGGGUAGCGGAGAAAUUCCAAUCGAACCUGGAGAUAGCUGGUUCUCUCCGAAAUAGCUUUAGGGCUAGCCUCAAGUGAUGAUUAUUGGAGGUAGAGCACUGUUUGGACGAGGGGCCCCUCUCGGGUUACCGAAUUCAGACAAACUCCGAAUGCCAAUUAAUUUAACUUGGGAGUCAGAACAUGGGUGAUAAGGUCCGUGUUCGAAAGGGAAACAGCCCAGACCACCAGCUAAGGUCCCAAAAUAUAUGUUAAGUGGAAAAGGAUGUGGCGUUGCCCAGACAACUAGGAUGUUGGCUUAGAAGCAGCCAUCAUUUAAAGAGUGCGUAAUAGCUCACUAGUCGAGUGACACUGCGCCGAAAAUGUACCGGGGCUAAACAUAUUACCGAAGCUGUGGAUUGUCCUUUGGACAAUGGUAGGAGAGCGUUCUAAGGGCGUUGAAGCAUGAUCGUAAGGACAUGUGGAGCGCUUAGAAGUGAGAAUGCCGGUGUGAGUAGCGAAAGACGGGUGAGAAUCCCGUCCACCGAUUGACUAAGGUUUCCAGAGGAAGGCUCGUCCGCUCUGGGUUAGUCGGGUCCUAAGCUGAGGCCGACAGGCGUAGGCGAUGGAUAACAGGUUGAUAUUCCUGUACCACCUAUAAUCGUUUUAAUCGAUGGGGGGACGCAGUAGGAUAGGCGAAGCGUGCGAUUGGAUUGCACGUCUAAGCAGUAAGGCUGAGUAUUAGGCAAAUCCGGUACUCGUUAAGGCUGAGCUGUGAUGGGGAGAAGACAUUGAGUCUUCGAGUCGUUGAUUUCACACUGCCGAGAAAAGCCUCUAGAUAGAAAAUAGGUGCCCGUACCGCAAACCGACACAGGUAGUCAAGAUGAGAAUUCUAAGGUGAGCGAGCGAACUCUCGUUAAGGAACUCGGCAAAAUGACCCCGUAACUUCGGGAGAAGGGGUGCUCUUUAGGGUUAACGCCCAGAAGAGCCGCAGUGAAUAGGCCCAAGCGACUGUUUAUCAAAAACACAGGUCUCUGCUAAACCGUAAGGUGAUGUAUAGGGGCUGACGCCUGCCCGGUGCUGGAAGGUUAAGAGGAGUGGUUAGCUUCUGCGAAGCUACGAAUCGAAGCCCCAGUAAACGGCGGCCGUAACUAUAACGGUCCUAAGGUAGCGAAAUUCCUUGUCGGGUAAGUUCCGACCCGCACGAAAGGCGUAACGAUUUGGGCACUGUCUCAACGAGAGACUCGGUGAAAUCAUAGUACCUGUGAAGAUGCAGGUUACCCGCGACAGGACGGAAAGACCCCGUGGAGCUUUACUGUAGCCUGAUAUUGAAAUUCGGCACAGCUUGUACAGGAUAGGUAGGAGCCUUUGAAACGUGAGCGCUAGCUUACGUGGAGGCGCUGGUGGGAUACUACCCUAGCUGUGUUGGCUUUCUAACCCGCACCACUUAUCGUGGUGGGAGACAGUGUCAGGCGGGCAGUUUGACUGGGGCGGUCGCCUCCUAAAAGG
Molecule: ribosomal RNA, 1986 nt
Filed under: Staphylococcus aureus
Lineage: Bacteria; Bacillati; Bacillota; Bacilli; Caryophanales; Staphylococcaceae
Description: partial 23S ribosomal RNA
Rfam family: Bacterial large subunit ribosomal RNA
Source: RNAcentral